Canis lupus familiaris (dog) is the source of this 386-nucleotide long non-coding RNA. RefSeq lists it as uncharacterized. The record is from RefSeq and is a predicted model, not a curated record. Lineage: Eukaryota; Metazoa; Chordata; Mammalia; Carnivora; Canidae. The transcript has 3 exons.
CACAAAAUGAUAACUGCUACCAAGGCUUUCUUUAAGAUGGUGUGUCUCCAAGAGAUUUAUCUUGAGAGCCACAGUCCUUAAUACAACAAAAUCUGUUUGUUUUGGAGAAUUUUGCGGGGCAGGAUAUGCCACUGAACACACUGCAUGAUAAGAAUUACUCCUUCUGGAAGGAGAGAGGUGAAAGAAGGAGCUGCUUGCUGUUUGACAAUAUGUACCAACUAUGAACCGGGCCCGGUACAAGACACAAAAAAUGGUUCCCAAUGCAUCGAUGAUAGAAAAAUACAUCCAUCGGCAAAGCCAAAGGAAAGUUAUACAAAUAGUCUACGUAUAAUAGGAACAGUAUGACCUUCCACUAAACAAAAGAUGUUGAGAGGAUUAAAAGAACA